Molecule: ribosomal RNA, 1006 nt
Filed under: Physconia perisidiosa
Lineage: Eukaryota; Fungi; Ascomycota; Lecanoromycetes; Caliciales; Physciaceae
Description: SSU rRNA
Rfam family: Bacterial small subunit ribosomal RNA
Source: RNAcentral
AUAGUAAAAGGCGUUUGAUUAGACAAGUAUCUUUAUUUAACAGACAAAUUUAAUUGGAUAAUAACAUUUAAUAAUAAAGAAAGUAAAACUUUUGCUCUUGGAAGWUAAUAUCUCGGGUASUAUUAGYUAAGGGUAAUACUNNNCUAGCUUAAUACGCGUAGUCGUAACUGGAANNNUGAUCGACCACAGUGGGACUGAAUAAAUCCCAUGACGAUUGUCUCAGCAGUGAGGAAUAUUGGUCAAUAGCCUAACGGCUGAACCAGCAACUUGGAGGAAUGUAUAGCGAAAGCUAGUUGCAUUUAACUUAGCGAAAGCUAAGUUGAUGCAGGAUUGACUAUGUCAAAUAAAGUUCUAGGUGGGUUAUGAUGAUGACAUUUCCUAUCUAUGUGUCUUGACCAAAUUACGUGCCAGCAGUCGCGGUAACACGUAAAAGACUAGUGUUAUUCAUCUUUAAUAGGUUUAAAGGGUACCUAGACGGUAAAUCAAGUCCAAGAAGGGUACUAAUUUUACUAGAGUUUAAUAUGAGGGGGCACUAAAGUACUGAUAAGUGUAGAGAUGAAAUUCUGUGAUACAAUAUACGGCACUGGUAAAGGCGAAAGCAUCUCAUUAUGUAAUAACUGACGUUGAGGGACGAAGGCUAGGUGUAGCAAAAAGGAUUAGAUACCCAAGUAGUCUUAGCAGAAAAUUAUGAAUGUCAUAGGAUGGAAAGUUGGAUGGACAAACAACAAAUUUUUUUUCUAUAAAUGAAAGUGUAAGCAUUCCACCUCGAGAGUAAUUUGGCAACAUUGGAACUGAAAUCAUUAGACCGUUUCUGAAACAAGUAGUGAAGUAUGUUGUUUAAYUUGAUGGUCCGCAAAAAACCUUACCACAAUUUGAAUAGAAAAAUUUUUUUUCAUACAAGCGCUGCACGGUUGUCUUCAGUUAAUGUCGUGAGAUCUUGGUUAGUUCCAUUAAAUUAACGUAAACCCUUACUCUAUUUUUAWAUAGAGUAGUUCACCGCUAGAUU